UACGAAGGGGGCUAGCGUUGCUCGGAAUUACUGGGCGUAAAGCGCGCGCAGGCAGCGGUGCUGGCCCGGCGUGAAAGCCCCCGGCUCAACCGGGGAGAGUCGUCGGGGACCGCACCGCUUGAGGGCGGUAGGGGCUGGUGGAAUGCCUGGUGUAGUGGUGAAAUGCGUAGAGAUCAGGCAGAACACCUGGGGCGAAGGCGUCCAGCUGGGCCGUCCCUGACGCUGAGGCGCGAAGGUGUGGGGAGCGAACGGG
RNAcentral lists this ribosomal RNA (253 nucleotides) under uncultured bacterium. RNAcentral's name for it is "partial 16S ribosomal RNA". It matches the Rfam family "Bacterial small subunit ribosomal RNA", at positions 524 to 776 of the family's 1533-position model. The record is from RNAcentral.